This 444-nucleotide ribosomal RNA is filed under the name uncultured bacterium. RNAcentral describes it as "bacterial SSU rRNA". It matches the Rfam family "Bacterial small subunit ribosomal RNA", at positions 356 to 795 of the family's 1533-position model. The record is from RNAcentral.
GGGGAAUCUUCCGCAAUGGGCGAAAGCCUGACGGAGCGACGCCGCGUGCGGGAUGAAGGCCUUCGGGUUGUAAACCGCUGUCAGUGGGGAGGAAAUGCAUGGGGGUUCUCCCUCGUGUUUGACCGAUCCGCAGAGGAAGCACAGGCUAAGUUCGUGCCAGCAGCCGCGGUAACACGAACUGUGCAAACGUUAUUCGGAAUCACUGGGCUUAAAGAGUUCGUAGGCGGCACGUUAAGUCGGGUGUGAAAUCCCUCGGCUCAACCGAGGAAUUGCGUCCGAAACUGGCGUGCUUGAGUAAGAUAGAGGUGAGCGGAACUGAUGGUGGAGCGGUGAAAUGCGUUGAUAUCAUCAGGAACACCGGUGGCGAAAGCGGCUCACUGGGUCUUAACUGACGCUGAGGAACGAAAGCUAGGGGAGCGAAAGGGAUUAGAUACCCCUGUAGUC